This 75-nucleotide transfer RNA is filed under the name Escherichia phage phiSUSP1. It matches the Rfam family "tRNA". Rfam says of the family: Transfer RNA (tRNA) molecules are approximately 80 nucleotides in length. Their secondary structure includes four short double-helical elements and three loops (D, anti-codon, and T loops). Lineage: Duplodnaviria; Heunggongvirae; Uroviricota; Caudoviricetes; Andersonviridae. The record is from Rfam by way of RNAcentral.
GGUUAUGUAGUUUAAUCUGGUUAAAAUACCUCACUGUCACUGAGGAAGAUGAGGGUUCAAAUCCCUUCGUAACCG